Molecule: ribosomal RNA, 209 nt
Filed under: Salmonella enterica subsp. enterica serovar Enteritidis str. 648905 5-18
Lineage: Bacteria; Pseudomonadati; Pseudomonadota; Gammaproteobacteria; Enterobacterales; Enterobacteriaceae
Description: partial 23S ribosomal RNA
Rfam family: Bacterial large subunit ribosomal RNA
Source: RNAcentral
CCCGUACACAAAAGCGCAUGUGCUGUGAGCUCGAUGAGUAGGGCGGGACACGUGGUAUCCUGUCUGAAUAUGGGGGGACCAUCCUCCAAGGCUAAAUACUCCUGACUGACCGAUAGUGAACCAGUACCGUGAGGGAAAGGCGAAAAGAACCCCGGCGAGGGGAGUGAAAAAGACCUGAAACCGUGUACGUACAAGCAGUGGGAGCCCCA